This 123-nucleotide non-coding RNA is filed under the name Catenulispora acidiphila. Its description in RNAcentral is "Glycine sequence". It matches the Rfam family "Glycine riboswitch aptamer". Rfam says of the family: This family represents the bacterial glycine riboswitch. The record is from RNAcentral. Lineage: Bacteria; Bacillati; Actinomycetota; Actinomycetes; Catenulisporales; Catenulisporaceae. RNAcentral also lists the same sequence under 1 other name.
CAACUCUGGAAAGCAGGGCUGAGCUGGAGUGCAGCCCUCACCGACGGUGUAAGCCGCCGGGUCGGACAGGUGCGCCUGCCCGCCCGCGGUGAAACUCUCAGGUUCCAUGACAGAGGGGGAGGA